UACGUAGGGUGCAAGCGUUAAUCGGAAUUACUGGGCGUAAAGGGUGAGCAGGCGGACAGGCAAGUCACAUGUGAAAUACCGGGGCCCAACCCCGGAACUGCAUGGGAAACUACCGGUCUUGAGUACAGGAGAGGCAGGCGGAAUUCCUAGUGUAGCGGUGAAAUGCGUAGAUAUUAGGAAGAACACCAGUGGCGAAGGCGGCCUGCUGGACUGAAACUGACGCUGAGUCACGAAAGCGUGGGGAGCGAAC
This 250-nucleotide ribosomal RNA is filed under the name uncultured bacterium. RNAcentral's name for it is "partial 16S ribosomal RNA". It matches the Rfam family "Bacterial small subunit ribosomal RNA", at positions 524 to 773 of the family's 1533-position model. The record is from RNAcentral.